RNAcentral lists this transfer RNA (71 nucleotides) under Enterobacter hormaechei subsp. xiangfangensis. RNAcentral describes it as "tRNA-Met". The stretch from base 4 to 64 matches the Rfam family "tRNA", at positions 7 to 64 of the family's 71-position model. From Rfam's summary of the family: Transfer RNA (tRNA) molecules are approximately 80 nucleotides in length. Their secondary structure includes four short double-helical elements and three loops (D, anti-codon, and T loops). The record is from RNAcentral. Lineage: Bacteria; Pseudomonadati; Pseudomonadota; Gammaproteobacteria; Enterobacterales; Enterobacteriaceae.
GGGGUGGAGCAGCCUGGUAGCUCGUCGGGCUCAUAACCCGAAGGUCGUCGGUUCAAAUCCACUCGAACUCG